UUUUUUUUUUUUUUUUUAAUGUUUGUUGUCUCAUAGUUGAGUACUCUUACAAGAAGCUUUUUGGAGUUCAACUUCUGACUUCUGUAUGAGACUUCAUGAUAAUUUGUCAUUUUAGUAUUGAAGAUGCAGGAUUUUUUGGAAAUUCUAUGUAAUUGUACAGGGUAAUAAUACUGGGGGAAGAAUUUUUUUGAGUCGAGGAUGGAUUAAAAAAGGAGAGGAUGGGGGAAUGAAAAGUGAGAAACUUAGCUGAGAAAGAGGAAUUUAAAAGGUUUGGCACUAAAAAUGCGUUUUCUGAGAGGUUUGUACAGCACAGUCUUUGGCAGAGAGUUGGGGAAGUACUUUGGGUAGGGAUUCUGUAAUUCCUGAAUCUGGGACAAAGUACUUUCAGUUUAUUGGUGAACUAGCAGGUCAAAGUGGUAGUAAGGUUUAGGCCUCUACUAAGUGGAACCAGCUUUGGAGAAGGAGUGGACGGGAAGCAUAUAGUAAAAGCAGGCUGCUGGAGGCAGUUUUAAAGAAAUUCCCAUGUAGUGCUUCAUGCCUUUGUCUCAGUAUUCUAUAAAGGGAAAAGAUUUUUUUUGAAAGCUCUGUUAUAAACCAUGUGAUGAUUAUCGCCUCUUUCCUGGUGCCUUGAAGAUGUGAAGGCCAUUUGUGACGCAUUCCUGAUGAGGGAAGGAUAAGUGAGUAUAGGUCAGACACCUAACAUAACAAUAGGAACCCCAAGGCAGGAAGAAUACAACGCUAUGGAGUUAAGGGCACUCCUGUAUUUGGAGACCGCUUUGUCAAAGACUAAUUAGUUUAAACUGUACGUUGAUGGAAGAAGACAUGGUUACCCAUGGGUAUGCUUGACUUUAAGAAUUCUCUAGAUAGGUCGUCUCCAAAGUUUCUUUAUGUCUUCCUUUUAAAAUACUGUUGCUUAUGUUUUCACGUGUGUGUGUGCUCUCGCAUGCGCACGCGGUAGUACAUUUUAUAAAUCACUGAAUACAUAUUGGGGAUAUAUUGGGGGUACUAAAAGUUUUAGUGAUAGAGGUGCAUAAAUAAAAAUGUCCAGAGGCUUUUUUCCAGAUAUCACGUAGAUGAGUGUUUUUUCCUCUCAAGAAUAAGUUGUGAUUAUUAUAAUCUUUAAGUGAUACUUCUUAAAAUAAAUUGUAGGAAUCUAGAAUGCUGCCUUUUCUAAUUUACGCUUAUCUUCUUGAACCUUAUUUGUAAAAUGAGAUCUUUUACAGCCAACAGUUAAACCUAACAUGAAGCGCUAAUAGCCAUUCAAAGUCCAUAUGCUCUUAUGUAUUAAAUCAUGUAUGGCCGUGUGUUGAAAUUUACAUUUUCUGCUUUUAGAAUUUUUCUUUUUUAAAUGUUGGGGCUCUUAGAACGUUUCAUUUGUUUGCAUGGUUGUUAAAGAACUGACUUAAUGUGGUUGUACAUCAGUGAUUAGGUUCGUUUUAACGAUUACAGUUUAACCAGAAAUCCCUUGUAUAUUUUUUUCCUCUUGUUCUGAACGAUUCCUAAAUGUUUAGGAAAGAAAGAUGACUAAUCAAUUGGAUUUAAUUUGAGAAGAUUCUAUAUCUAGACAUAAACCUAAAAGGAUGGUAUGUGGCAGUUGCACUAUAAGAAAGAAUUGAAUGCGUUUUCUAGUCUUGACUUAACGGCAGUUUUGUCCCUAAAUACAAUAGACUAAGUGGGGUUGUAUUUCCUAUAAAUUCACUUAUGAUCCUUCACCUUAUCAAUGUACAUUUUUUUUUUUAACCUCCUGACAACUGGGUGAGGUUGACAGGUAGGUGGGUCAGUAUUUUUUAAUCUUUAUUUUAUGGAUAGAAAACUGUGGCUUAGGGAAUUUAAUUUGCUCCAAAGCUAAACAGCUAGUAAGUCUUUGAUUCAUAAUUUGGACUCAGGACUUUCUGACCCCAUAAUCCAAGCUGGUAACUGUUAGUAUAUUGUGGCAUAUGAGUGAUUUACCUUGUGUCCACCCUGUUGGAACAGGCGUUUUUAACGUCUCCUUCCUUUCACUCUCCAUGCCCAGGAAGCAUAGAACUGUCUUAAAACUUGGCUUCUUUCUUUAAGAGGCAGUUGGGAUCUAAUACAAAGAAUCCUAGUCUUAGAAGAACAAGCGAAAUCCAAGCCUGUACCAGCUCCCAGCUUGUGACUUCGGACAAGUUGCUUAGCCUCUCUGAGCCCAUUCAUUCCAUGUGUAAAACUGGAGAUAAAAACAAGUGCGUUGUCUAGGUCAAGCAUAGGAACACCCCUAGCACGGAGUGGUUGGAUUCUUGGAAGUUGGACGGAUGCCCUGUAUCAUGGAAGCAGAUGAAAUACAGCAGAUAAUGUUCUUGGUUUCUUGAAACGGUGAGGAUGUCGCUGUGAUUGUGUUUGGAGUUUCUUGAACAUUUGCUUUAGCCAAUAGCUACAAAAAUAUACUUGUGUCUUCGAAAUAAUAUAGGAAAGAAAAUGAGCUGCUCCCCCACCCCCCAAAAAAUACAGCUUACCCAGGCCUUGCCAUAUGUAUUUUACAGAUUUCCCCUUAGCGCUGUGGUUUUCAGAGCUAUGUUCUCAGUAAAGGAGCAAAAAGUUUCUUGACUGAGAUGUUUUUAUCUAUAUUGAAGACACCUUAAGUCGAGAGAGGGAGUGACAUUACCGAUGUGUAUAGCAAUACAGCCCCGUAGAGUGAACAUUCAUUCGCAUCCGUUAUCCUGUUGAAUCCCAACAACUCUUUAUUAAAUAAGGUGACUUUUCCCAGGGUUUGCAGUUCUUCAGGCCAUAUGUAUUUGGCAUGUUUUUGCAAGAGAUUUUCAAACAGAACUCCUUGGUUCUCCGUCUUACUAACCUAGAGUAGUGUGAGUACUUCCUUAACUGCAAAGGAAAACAGCCUUUUUAAAAGUUAUCAGUUUGGGUUUGAGUUUCUUCUUGUGAUGUAACCUGGCGCAAUGUUUGCUUGAAUCACUAAUAAUGUAAUUGGUUUCUUCUAGUCAGAAAUAAAUGAGUCAGUGACCAUGGGUUCUUUCCUUUUUUCUUUUUUUUUUUUUUUUUUUUUUUUUUUUUUUUUUUAAGUGCUGCUCUUGUGGCACAUGGAAGUUCCCAGCCUGGGAAACUCUGUAGUACUGCAGGUAUGGCCCUAAAAAGGCAAAAUAUUAAAAAAAAGUAAAAUGAAAUAAACUCAAUUCUCUUUUUUUCUAUGUGAAGAUGUCUUCAUUGAAUAGCUUGCUGCUAGGUUAUCUAACACUGCAUACCUCUGUGAGGUUGGUACUCAGCCAGCAGUUUCUUGCUAAUUUAUUUUGCAAUAAUAGAGGAAACAAGGCCUCAAGAAACUUAGAGGCAGAAUUUCUUUAGCCCUUUCAGAGGUCUUGCAUCUUAAAGCCCCUUUGUGGUACAGGCUCAGCUUGGAGUUGUAUGUUAUGUAGCUUUAUUAAUUAGUGUGUUCCUAUGAUGUUUAAGAUAGUGGUGUAAGGAGUUUGGAACUCCUUAAAACAAGAUUCAGUGGCCAGUGUCGUCAGAAUAGUUACCUCUUUAGACAGUCCUUAUGGUUAUAGAAUUAGAAAUACAGCGCUCAUGUAACAUUGAAAUACGGGAUGUCUGCUCUCUUCUGACUCCCAGAUUGUUGCAUUUUCCUCCUUACAAUGUUAGGAUCCUUUCUAAUGAUCAAAAUAUGGUCCGUGUUUUGUCCUGUAUCUACUAUGUUUAUUUUUUAGUUCAAUGAAUUUUAUUAUAUUUAAAGUUGUACAACCAUCAUCACAACUUAAUUUUAGGACAUUUACAUCCCAGACCCCCAGCCCAUCCCUCCACACCCCCUAACCUGUCUCCUUUGGUAACCAAAAGUUUUUCAAAGUCUGUGAGUCAGUUUCUGUUCUGUGAAGUUCAUUGUAUCCUUUAUUUAGAUUCCCCAUAGGGCAUAUGAUGUUUGUGUCUCACUGUUUGACUAUCUUCACUUAGCAUUAUAAUUUCUAGGUCUCUCCAUGUUGCUACAAAUGCCAUUUAUUUCAUUACUUUUUAUGGCUGAGUAAUAUUCCAUUGUGUAUAUGAAUCACAUCUUUUUUAACCACUCCUCUGUUGAUGGACAUUUAUGUUGCUUCCAUGUCUUGACUAUUGUAUAUAGUGCUGCAAUGAACAAUGCAGUACAUGUAUUUUUUUUUCUUUCUGUCUUUUUAGGGCUGCACCUGCGGCAUAUGGAGGUUCCCAGGCUAGGGGCCUAAUCUGGAGCUGCAGCUACAGGCCUACACUAGAGCCACAGCAGUGCAGGAUCUGAGCCGCAUAUGCAACCUACACCACAGCUCAUGGCAACGCUGGAUUCUUAACCCACUGAACGAGGCCUGGGAUCAAACUUUCAUCCUCAUGGGUGCUAAUCAGAUUCGUUUCCAAUGAGCCAUGACAGAAACCCCUACAUGUAUUUUUUUUAAGUCAUGGUUUUCUCUGGAUAGAUGCUCAGGAGUGGGAUUGUUGUAUCAAAUGGUAAUUCUAUUUUCAGUUUUUUGAGGAAUCUCCAUACUGUUUUCCGUAGUGUUUGCACCAAUUUACAUUCCCACCAACAGUGUAAGAGGGUUCCCUUUUCUCCACACCCUCUCCAGCACAUUGUUUGUUGACUCUUUGAUGAUGGCUGUUCUGGGCUGGAUGUAUUGUGGUACCUCAUAGUGGUUUUGAUUUGCAUUUUUCUAAUAAUGAGUGAUGUUGAACAUCUUUUCAUGUGUUUUUUGGCCAUUCAUAUGUUUUCUUUGGAGAAUUGUCUGUUUAGAUCUUCUGCCCAUCUUUUGAUGGGGUUGUUUUUUUUGGUAUUGAGCUGCAGAAGGUGUUGAUAAAUUUUGGAGAUUAAUCCCUUGUCAGUUGAUUGAUUUGCAAAGAUUUUGUCCCAUUCUGUGGGUUAUCUUUUCAUUUUGUUUAGGGUUUCCUUUGCUGUGCAAAAACUUUUAAGUUUGGUUAGGUCCCAUUUGUUUAUUUUUGUUUUUGUUGUCAUUACUCUAGGAGGUGUGUCUGAGAAGAUACUGCUGUGGUUUAUUUCAGAGAGUGUUUGGCCUAUGUUUUCCUCUAAGAAUUUUAUAGUAUUUGGUCUUAUACCUAGGUCUUUACUCCUUUUCGAGCUUAUUUUUGUAUUUAGUGUUAGUGAGUGUUCCUGAUUUCAUUUUUUUCCAUGGGCUGUCCAGUUUUCCCAGCACCACUUAUUGAAAGGGACUGUCUUUUCUCCAUUGUAUAUUCUUGCCUUCUUUGUCAUAGAUAGUUGCCCAUAGGUGCGUGGGUUUAAUUCUGGGCUCUCUAUCUUGUUCCACUAGUCUGUAUUUCUGUUUUUGUGCCACUGCCAUACUGUUUUGAUGACUGUAGCUUUGUAGUGUAGUCUGGAGUCGGGGAGCCUGAUUCCUCCAGCUCCAUGUUUCUUUCUUGGGAUUGCUUUGACUAUUCUGGGUCUUUUGUACUUCCAAACAAACUUUAAAAUACGUUGUUCUAGUUCUGUGAGUCUGUUGCACUUAUUGAACAAAUCCUUAUUGAGUCCUCCUACAUGCCAAGUACUGUGCUAAGACUGAGGAUGCCAAACCAGUCACUGUAUCUGCCCUCAAGGGUCUUGGAACCUAGCGGCGGAGAGGAGGUUACCAAACAAAUGUAAACAUUGGACCUGAGACUGCUGAGGAAAGGAACAUGGUGAAGUGGUGUCCAGAGAGAUGUGAUUACCUGAGGAGGCCUUUCCACAGGCAGGGGUACUUGAGCUGAGAUCUGAAGGAUGGGUGGGAGUUUGGGUGAACAGUAAAGAGUGUGCACAGACCUGGAUGGAGAAAGUGCGGUGAAGGGAGGGGAGGGACUAAAGGAAGAUCAGGGUGUCUGGAGUGGAGAGGAAUUAAGGAAUGGGGCCAAAUCACUGUGGGGUUUUCUAGGUAGAGUGACCAGGUAAUUUGAUUGGUGAGUUUAUCAACCAGUCUAUGACUCUUGAGAGUAGCAAAACGGUGCUAUUAAUAAUUCUACCCAGACUACAAGCGUCAGCCCAGACAUACAGUCACCUCACUUUUAUAGGCCGUGUUAGAAAUUUCAUCUCUGUGAAUAAGGGCUGGGCAACCAGCAGCGCGUCUCCUUCCUGGUGGACAUGUCAAGGAGUUAGAACACUUUAUCCAGAGUCUAAAGGGAACCCAGGUAGGACUCAAAAGUGUGUUUUUCGGAACAGUUAGGUUGUGAUGAUGUGUUUUGGUACAGACUUUCAUGGGUUUGUUUUGUUUGUUUUUGCAUUUUCGGUGGCCCUGUGGCACAGGGAGUUCCCUAGCCAGGGAUCAGAUCCAAGCCGCAGUUGAGAUCUAUACCACAGCUGCUGCAAUGCUGGGUGCAAUCCUUAACCCAGGCCAGGGAUUGAACCUGUGUCCUAACACUCCCAAGAUGCCGCUGGUCGUGUUGCACCACUGUGGGACCUUCAUUGACUCACAUUUUAAAGGUCUAGCAUGAAAAGUUGGGUUUUAGUGUGAGCUCCUGGAUUAGUGGUACUUCCAUGGUGUAUGAGAAGCAGAAAUCAAACAUAUCUUGCAUUUUUACCACAAUUUUACUGUAGCACUGGUCAUUUUGCAAUGAGUGUUUAUUUAAAUAGAAUUUUUUAAAAAGCUUCAUUCUGGGUUUACAUUUUGAAUGUAAGUACCUGCUGGGCAUAACUUUCAAGGUGUGAGCCACUUAAAUUUCUUUAAAUUGAUGUAAACAUUUUAUACAGUUUAAAUACAUAGAGUUCAGUGAAUUUGGUGUACCCAUGUAAUCCACACUCUGAUCAAGAGAUAGAACAUUUCAGAGUUCCUGCUGUGGUGCCACAGGAUUGGCUUCUUGAGAGUGCUGCUGGGUAGGUUCAAUCCCUGGGCUGGCAGAGUGGGUUAAGGAUCCUGCGUUGCUGCAGCUGGAGCAUAGGUCGCAGCUGUGAUUCUGAUCUGAUCCCUAGCCCAAGAACUCCAUGUGCUGCAGUGUGGC
This 6897-nucleotide long non-coding RNA is filed under the name Sus scrofa (pig). RNAcentral describes it as "lncRNA (ENSSSCG00005019159.1)". The record is from RNAcentral. Lineage: Eukaryota; Metazoa; Chordata; Mammalia; Artiodactyla; Suidae.